Rhineura floridana is the source of this 372-nucleotide long non-coding RNA. RefSeq lists it as uncharacterized. The record is from RefSeq and is a predicted model, not a curated record. The transcript is spliced from 4 exons. NCBI's taxonomy places the organism in Eukaryota, Metazoa, Chordata, Lepidosauria, Squamata, Rhineuridae.
CUUUUUGAAUCCUCCAUUACCACAUGAGCAAACAGGUGUGAGGCUGCUUGCCAGAAGAUGGAAACUAUGGAAUGAAUGUCUGCUGGCAGACGGUCGUGGCGGUUAAACAUGAGCAAAAUGCCUGUCACCUACACAGAUUACUGAAUGACAGGUGUAGUAGCAGAAGCACAAAAUAGCAGCAUCAGGAAUCUUGGGCUGUAAUUUUGCGUAUCCUGUCUUGGAAGAAGUCCCAUUAUACUCGGUGGGACCUGUUUCCAAGGAAACAUGCAUAGGGCCAUGCCGUUUGUCUUCUAAGGUAAGGAUGCUUGAGGUAUUCAAUCUUUUAAAUCCCUACGUGAAAAUGAUCUGAUCCGCACCUUUCAGAUUAAUGAG